This 497-nucleotide ribosomal RNA is filed under the name uncultured bacterium. Its description in RNAcentral is "partial 16S ribosomal RNA". It matches the Rfam family "Bacterial small subunit ribosomal RNA", at positions 28 to 507 of the family's 1533-position model. The record is from RNAcentral.
GAUGAACGCUGGCGGCGUGCCUAAUACAUGCAAGUCGAGCGAACAGACGAGGAGCUUGCUCCUCUGACGUUAGCGGCGGACGGGUGAGUAACACGUGGAUAACCUACCUAUAAGACUGGGAUAACUUCGGGAAACCGGAGCUAAUACCGGAUAAUAUAUUGAACCGCAUGGUUCAAUAGUGAAAGACGGUUUUGCUGUCACUUAUAGAUGGAUCCGCGCCGCAUUAGCUAGUUGGUAAGGUAACGGCUUACCAAGGCAACGAUGCGUAGCCGACCUGAGAGGGUGAUCGGCCACACUGGAACGGAGACACGGUCCAUACUCCUACGAGAGGCAGCAGUAGGGAAUCUUCCGCAAAGGGCGGAAGCCUGACGGAGCAACGCCGCGUGAGUGAUGAAGGUCUUCGGAUCGUAAAACUCUGUUAUUAGGGAAGAACAAAUGUGUAAGUAACUAUGCACGUCUUGACGGUACCUAAUCAGAAAGCCACGGCUAACUACGUG